AAUAGAUACCCAGGUAGUCCACGCCGUAAACGAUGGAUACUAGCUGUUUGAGCGCAAGUUUGAGUGGCUAAGCGAAAGUGAUAAGUAUCCCACCUGGGGAGUACGGGCGCAAGCCUGAAACUCAAAGGAAUUGACGGGGGCCCGCACAAGCGGUGGAGCAUGUGGUUUAAUUCGAUGAUACGCGAGGAACCUUACCAGGGCUUAAAUGUAGAUUGACGUAUUUGGAAACAGAUAUUUCUUCGGACAAUUUACAAGGUGCUGCAUGGUUGUCGUCAGCUCGUGCCGUGAGGUGUCAGGUUAAGUCCUAUAACGAGCGCAACCCCUGUUGUUAGUUGCCAGCGAGUAAUGUCGGGAACUCUAGCAAGACUGCCAGUGUAAACUGUGAGGAAGGUGGGGAUGACGUCAAAUCAUCACGGCCCUUACGUCCUGGGCCACACACGUGCUACAAUGGCCGGUACAGAGAGCAGCCACUUAGCGAUAAGGAGCGAAUCUAUAAAGCCGGUCACAGUUCGGAUCGGAGU
This 521-nucleotide ribosomal RNA is filed under the name uncultured bacterium. RNAcentral's name for it is "bacterial SSU rRNA". It matches the Rfam family "Bacterial small subunit ribosomal RNA", at positions 777 to 1304 of the family's 1533-position model. The record is from RNAcentral.